This is a long non-coding RNA of Dermacentor albipictus, 901 nucleotides long. RefSeq lists it as uncharacterized. The record is from RefSeq and is a predicted model, not a curated record. Lineage: Eukaryota; Metazoa; Arthropoda; Arachnida; Ixodida; Ixodidae.
GGUGCCGUGUGUAAGGGCAACACCUACCACUACACAACUGUAAAACGGUUGCAACCCUGAUCGCAAUCUUGCUGUUAGCUGAUUUGGCAUCGCUCACUACGCGUAAACACACUUCACCGCAACCUGUUUUUCCGUUUUGUUUCGCCGCACAAGCAAUACGCCGUGUGUAGUACCUUCCAAGAGUGGAACAAAAGGAGGACGUGGAGGACGGUCAGCCUCUCCCCGCAUCUACCACAGGUUGGAGGCUCGUUUCCCGCCAGCAAGUCAUGCAUUGCUACAUAAAUAUGCGACUGCUAAUUCUGGGUAUCAUCAGCUUUGCUGUUCUGGCUAUUGCACAUGGAUACCCCGGAUCAAGCCCGGAUGUUGUCUUGGUAGCACGAAAUGACGAAGAACGUGAAGGCUUCCUGGAUGGCGUCAAUGAUUUCUUUCAGCCUGCAGCAGAUGCCAUUCAGCAUUACGUAUUUGAUCCUAUAAAGAACUUCUUCGGCGCUGGCUCGGACAGCAACGAGUAAUCUACGUUAUUCCUUCGAAAUCGCAUUAAAGUGCAAAAUGCUGUGCAGUUUUACGAAAGACCGCUGUUGACGCCACAAGCAAGUCACGACCGCGGUCCUGUUGCACUUCUUUAAAGGAUUAGUUUGGCAGUUCAUUGUGUUGGAAAACACUCGCGCAUAAGGCAAACUUGUAACUUGGCCGCUUUGGGUUAACUGUUGGGCACAUCUUAUGGUACUUGCUAUAUGACGUGUUUUGCUGUUAUUCUUUCUUUUCUGGAUGGUGUCUAACUUUCUGGGUUUUUGUAUAAAAAUAAACUGCAAAAAAGAAUUACGCGUGACAUUGUCACCGAGGCACAAGUACUGUGUUACUCGUCACACCUGAAGAGACACAGCGCUAUGGUCGCAUAUGA